Chinchilla lanigera (long-tailed chinchilla) is the source of this 1394-nucleotide long non-coding RNA. RefSeq lists it as uncharacterized. NCBI's taxonomy places the organism in Eukaryota, Metazoa, Chordata, Mammalia, Rodentia, Chinchillidae. The record is from RefSeq and is a predicted model, not a curated record. The transcript has 6 exons.
CAUAAACCCUGAGCUCUCUGUGCUCAGAGCCCUCCCUGCUUCCUCGGUCCCUCAUACUUUUCCUGAGCCUCAGUGCCUUGGUACAUUCUGCUUCCUCCACUCCAAGGUGCUUCUUUCUCUUCUCCCUUAAAACUUCCCUCCCUAACCUUUAAAGUCCAGCUUGAGUCCCAAAGGCACCUGAUCUUCUGGGAAAACAUGACCACCAAAUAUCAACUCCAGGCCUAUGAGGCCUAAUCGGAUGAUUAAGGACAAGAUCAGCAGGAGGUAACCACAGUGAUGUGACCUGCAGCCUCCCAGCAAUCAAAGUACUUGGAAUCUUGGAAUCUGGGCCCACUCUGCAGCCUGGGACAGAGCUGGUUUCACCCUCCGAUGCUAAGCAGAAGAGAGAGGAAGCUGAGUUUGUACCAGAGUGGGCCACAGGAAAAUUCUUGAGAUAUUCUUUGGAGCUAUCAAGGUAGAAAGGAAGCAGCAGCUGUCUUGGAGAUCACUCACCAUUGCCGAACAGCUACUCAUCUUGUAUGAACAAGGCUGAAGCUGGGCUACCUUCCCCUAGAUCCUGCUUUCACUUCUUUGAUUCUUGAGGAAGGUGCGUUCAGUUCUGUAACAAAGAGCCCUGGCUUCUGUAUGACAUCCACAUCAUGGAAGUUUUCCUUCACUGACUGAACCCUGUCUGGUACUCUGGGAUUUAGAGAACACAGGAUAAAAAAUCUGCACAGAACACUGAAUUGCACUUUGUCUUGCUAAUGAAUGCAUGUUGGAAGGCACCACUGGAAUGUUCACAAAGGACAUGUCACAGUGUAGAGUCACCGUGUUCUGGAGCCAGGUUCUCAUUUACACAAUUCUAUAAACUUGAUCUUGUUAAAGCCUACGUGAGUUAAAAUGUUUGAAGUCAGAGGAAACAGAAAACCCAAUGCAAACUGGCUGAAAGCAGGAGACAGAUACAUUUGCUGAAUCAGGAUGCUGCUCCACAUUUUCACCAUUCUCUUGGACUUGCUUUCUUUUUCUUGUCUACUGGGCAUUGAUGUUGAGAGGAAACCUGUUGAAGUGGUUGUUCCUGCACAACACAGCAACCAGGGACAGAGAAAUAGUCUCUUCUAUUUCUUUUUACCACAUUAUCCCAGGAAUGGGACCACACCAGACUCUCCAUACAUCCUUGUUCAGAAUGGAUGGACCUAGAAGUGGUUAAACUGGAGGGCACUGAUAUAUAAAUUCCAGGGAAAGUUUACAUCACAGAAGAAGGGCCUGAGGCACUAUGGAGGUGGAUGCAGGAGCCUGAGGACCACAUGUGCCCAUCAGAUGUUCUUGUUUGCCCUAGGACAUGUAGAAAACAUCGGCACUGACAGGCUGCCAUUGAAUAGUUUUAUCCACUACAGAAAAUAAAGACAGCUGUACUC